RNAcentral lists this ribosomal RNA (397 nucleotides) under uncultured bacterium. Its description in RNAcentral is "bacterial SSU rRNA". It matches the Rfam family "Bacterial small subunit ribosomal RNA", at positions 291 to 705 of the family's 1533-position model. The record is from RNAcentral.
CCUGAGAGGGUGACCGGCCACAUUGGGACUGAGACACGGCCCAAACUCCUACGGGAGGCAGCAGUGGGGAAUAUUGCACAAUGGGGGAAACCCUGAUGCAGCGACGCCGCGUGAGUGAAGAAGUAUUUCGGUAUGUAAAGCUCUAUCAGCAGGGAAGAAAAUGACGGUACCUGACUAAGAAGCCCCGGCUAACUACGUGCCAGCAGCCGCGGUAAUACGUAGGGGGCAAGCGUUAUCCGGAUUUACUGGGUGUAAAGGGAGCGUAGACGGUAAAGCAAGUCUGAAGUGAAAGCCCGGGGCUCAACCCCGGGACUGCUUUGGAAACUGUUUAACUAGAGUGCUGGAGAGGUAAGCGGAAUUCCUAGUGUAGCGGUGAAAUGCGUAGAUAUUAGGAGGA